GUAUAAUAUAAUUUUUCCUCUCAAACACCCUCUGCUUCUUUCCUCCGCUCUAUAAAUCUUGCUCUCUUCCACCGUUGAACGCUACUCUAACGAAGCGCGCACGCUCUAACGUAGCUGCUGCUCUGCCUCUCACUUUCCUCGCCCUCCGCCUCUCCCUGCUCACAACAAGUCUCCUUUCAUUUCCCUGCUCUCUUUCUUGGCUGCCUCGCUUGUUGUUUCCUUCGAGUUCUUCAAUGCUGGAUCUCGUAAAAUCCGUCUGCAUGAUACGAGAGGGGAUUUUCUUUUGAGUACUGUUUCGUAAUCUCGGAAAAAUUUGGCUCACAUACAUAUAUUUAUUUAUAUACACAUAAUCUUAUUUAAGUUUUUUAAAUCCAUAUCCUGGUUUAAGAUCCUGUGUUUUUCCUUCCCAACUCAAUCAGAUUUUCUUUCAUUUGUAUUUCGAGUUUAAAAUUGUUAGAUUUGGUUGUGAAGAUACUGAAUCCCUUAAGUAUCUCCUAAAAGAUAUUGACAGAUAGAGAGCUCUUUCAGAUCUUUCGGAUAAGGUUGCUGGAUCUGAAACUCCGCAUUUCAUUUCUGUUGGAAUUUGAUAUACAAAGCUUAAAACAGUGCUUUGAUUGAUAGAAACGAAUUUCUAUAAGCAAAAGGAACGGUAGUUCAAACCCGUAAAGUUCGCCACUUCUUGGGGAAUUUAUCUCUUGCCUGUGUUUGAAACAAUAAAUACAAGGGGAAAGAAAGGAUCGUUUCUGAUUAGUUUCCUGGUUCGUCAAUAAUGUCGGCGGCAUCCAACUCUCUCCUUAAGCCCGAAGCUAACGCCUGUUCUCUUUCAACCCUCAGUAAACCUUCCUUUUCGCCUAAAUUAAAUGUUAUUGCUUCCGUAUCUGGCCGGAAUAACAGAGCUCCACGAUGCUCCGUCACCAAGAAAUCGACGGUGUUGGGUAAAAAGUUCUUUGGAACCAAACUGCGGGCUCCUGGGACGGAGAGACUUCAUUUAUGGCAAUCGGAUGGGCCCGGACGGUCACCAAAGCUUCGAGUUGUGGUUUCUUCCGCAUUGUCUGGAGUGCCGGAGAAACCCCUUGGU
RNAcentral lists this unclassified non-coding RNA (1078 nucleotides) under Hevea brasiliensis (rubber tree). The record is from RNAcentral. Lineage: Eukaryota; Viridiplantae; Streptophyta; Magnoliopsida; Malpighiales; Euphorbiaceae.